RNAcentral lists this long non-coding RNA (1099 nucleotides) under Coturnix japonica (Japanese quail). RNAcentral describes it as "lncRNA (ENSCJPG00005000164.1)". Lineage: Eukaryota; Metazoa; Chordata; Aves; Galliformes; Phasianidae. The record is from RNAcentral.
AUAGAACUGUUUCCAGAGCUGCUGUCACACAGGCUGCAAGCAAUUAGGGCCUUCAGGCACCUCCCCCAAGUUCAUCUCCCCUGCAUUCCUAAUUUUUCUUCCAAUGCUGGUGAUGUGUGAAUCUAGAGUUAUCUCUGAGCAACUCUGGUAUCAAAACUAUUUAAAUCCAUGAAUCAGCUUUCUUCCCAGUUUUCUUAGCCUAUCUGUUAACCAAACAGUGGAAAUGGGGCCAUACUGCUUCCUGCAAGUGGGCAUUUGAGAACAAAUUCAGGGCUCGACAUGUUGCAGAUUUGCACACCUCACUCAGGAGGAAACAUCGGUUCUUUGCCUUUUGUUUUCUUUCCAUGACACCUGGGAGGGGCUUUCAGAGGAGUGAAAUAGUGCUCCUUGUUUCAGUUUGCGAUGUCCAGUUUGUGCCGUCAUAGAGCAAUAGCUGAAGGGCAAUUCUUUCCCAUUUUCAUGCUGUGCAUUUUCUCCGUCCUUUGUCUCCAGACAUUGUUAAGUACAGCCUGCAUUUUUCUCUGCAGUUCUGUGUGCUGGGUAUGCUGAUUAUAUGCAAAUUUCCUAAUAGUAAUGUUAAUUUUCCAACUUCUGAAUUAACACAGAGCACAGGCUGAGUGACAGUGCCACAGCAAUAUUAAGUAUCACUGAAUUAGGUUCAUUAGCCACUACGCUGCUGAAUGUCAGGUAGAAAUUGUUUUUUGCUGGUUCCUCCACUUCUCCUACCUUGCAGUAGAGUGAAGUAUGCUUAGAUUUGUGACACUUCCUGGGAAAAAGCACAGCCGAGCACAGCUGAGAUGGGAAAAAGCAGCUCAGUACAGGUUAGCUGGUCUGGAGGGGACAUUUUGGAGCUGACAAGUGGAUGGGAAAGGACAAUGGAAGUGCAACCAAGUGAGGAGAUCAUUCAGACAGAGAAAUCAAAUGUGUCUAAAAUCCUGGAUGCCUCGUGCUGGCUCCAGCAAUGAGCAUGGACAGCUACACCUGCCCAGUGGUACAGCUAGCUUUGGAUGCACCAUGGCUAAGGUAAGUAAGCCCCAUAGUAAUCACUUCCACAUCAAAUGCACCUAUAAUUAAUUUACAAUACAACAACAUGACAGAA